UACGAAGGGGGCUAGCGUUGCUCGGAAUUACUGGGCGUAAAGCGCACGUAGGCGGAUUGUUAAGUCGGGGGUGAAAUCCUGGAGCUCAACUCCAGAACUGCCUUCGAAACUGGCGAUCUUGAGUUCGGGAGAGGUGAGUGGAACUGCGAGUGUAGAGGUGAAAUUCGUAGAUAUUCGCAAGAACACCAGUGGCGAAGGCGGCUCACUAGCCCGAUACUGACGCUGAGGCGCGAAAGCGUGGGGAGCAAACAGG
This 253-nucleotide ribosomal RNA is filed under the name uncultured bacterium. RNAcentral's name for it is "partial 16S ribosomal RNA". It matches the Rfam family "Bacterial small subunit ribosomal RNA", at positions 524 to 776 of the family's 1533-position model. The record is from RNAcentral.